UACCCUGAACGGUGGAUCACUUGGCUCGUGGGUCGAUAAAGAACGCAGCUAAUUGCGCCCCAACUUGUGAACUGCAGGACACAUGAACAUCGACAUUUCGAACGCACAUCGCGGUCCACGGACACAAUUCCCGGACCACGCCUGGCUGAGGGUCG
RNAcentral lists this ribosomal RNA (155 nucleotides) under Neodiprion lecontei (redheaded pine sawfly). Its description in RNAcentral is "5.8S ribosomal RNA". It matches the Rfam family "5.8S ribosomal RNA". Rfam says of the family: 5.8S ribosomal RNA (5.8S rRNA) is a component of the large subunit of the eukaryotic ribosome. The record is from RNAcentral. Lineage: Eukaryota; Metazoa; Arthropoda; Insecta; Hymenoptera; Diprionidae.